AAGCCUCCUUGCCUGUCCGCUUGUACCUCUCACAAGCGUCCUAUCCUAACAGAUCUCUUUCUUGCCUAUUACUUUGCCUCACUGAAUUCCUUCUGUGAUGAGACACAAAGAACCUGAGCCUCAGGAAGUGCAGACACCAGUGUCAAUAAAGAGGAGAAAUGGAACAUGGGCUUGAGCUUUCUGCUGCAAUUCACUGCCACUGCCAUCUCUGGAGACUGGCCACUACAACACUUGAGUGUUGAUUCUCAGCCAGUGACAGGCAAACCCGUCCCUCGAUCUGAUCAACUGUCCCUGUUGAUCUGAGAACUAGAAGGCUUCAGCUCAGAGGAUGGAACUGGUUCCAAAGCAAGGACCUCCCUGGAAUGAGAGAUCAACUAGGUGUGAAAAAGCAUCCCAAAGCCUCUGGACUCACUGCCAAUGCAAUUAGCUGCUACGAAAUUUGGGUAGGGAGUGUCGUGUUUCUGGAAGUGUCCAGAGGGAGCUUGGAUGAGCAAUUCUUGGAAAGAUUUUUAAAGCUUGCCCCAAGAACUUGCUGGACUCUCAUGCCAUACGAGAGACCCUCAAAGGACACUGGAUAUUUACCUUGAAGAAAAGAAAACUCUGCUGGGAGAGAGGGGUGGUUAAGAAACACUAACCCAUUUGAUAAUUUUGUGAGUACAGGGGAGCUGAGCUAUUGCUGUGUAUUCCUAUGGAGAAAUAAAUAGUAAUAGAAAUUACCGAAGCACAUUCUAAUGGAAAGGGCUAGCCAGAUAGAGAAUAUGCCUCUGAAGAGGUAAUGAGGUUGAAGUGACUAUUGUAACUUUCUGGAAAUGAACUAGAUGUUGUGUAGUAAAUAGGGGGAAGUAGGUCAAUUCGAUCCAUUAGAUUUUAUAAAAUUAUAUGAUGCAGAAGCAAAGAGGGAGCUAUUGAAUUUUAGCUGCUAUUAUGGAAGGCUAGGACUGGACUACAAUGAUGUGACCCACAAUCACAGUAAUUGUUCAGGUGGACUUUGUAAAUGAGCUGAAAUCAUUCUUUUGAAAAUAACUCUUCAAAGUGAGAAGAUUUCUCCAAUCCACAUUUUCUAGUCUGCUUGGCUGUCCCCUCUGGGCUCAGUCAAAGAAACCCAUGCAGUGGAAGUAUGUUUAGCAAUUGGGCCUGUUCCCAGGUUGCGAGACAUUUAGCAAAAAUCCAGAGUUAUUAUUAGAUCUAAAUGGAGGCUUUUGUCAAAAGGCCUCUUGAACUGUUAGGAAAUCAGAGUGCAAAUUGAUAAUGACACACAACACAUCCCUGCCCUGGCAGCUCCCCGAAGGCUGCUGAGAUACCCCAGAAAGAACUUGCAUGGCCUCAUGCCAACAGCGUGUUGCUCAACCCUCGUCCUUCUCCUAAGUCGGCUUGACAACUGCAUUCUUCUCUUCCUUGUAAGAGGCAGAAGGAGAUGGAUUAAAGAGGAUGUUUGAACUGAGACUAUUAAUUUCCUUGCAGUGUGUAUUCAAGUCAGAUCCCUUUAGAAGAGCCUUUUGUGGUUUCAUAAAAUUACAACUUUGGCUAUUCGGCUGCCUUUUCCAAAGUACAAAUUUGGCUUCUAAAGAAAACACACUUCAUAGGAAAAAAGGAAAGAAAUGAGUACGUAGUUAUCUUUAAAUAUAUUCAUUUUAUAUAAUCGUUCUGUUACGCAAAGAAACAAUUACAGUAUUAACUACUUAUUAAUAAAAGAAAUCAUAAAACAUAGUGUCUUCAUAAACCCUUUCAGGUUUUCAUGAGUUUUAUUUGAAAGAAGUUAAUAAAACAGAUUUUUUUUUUUUCCUUAGAGUUUAUGAAUGGAAAAAUACUUUUUUAAACUAUCGGGCUUAAAAAUGAAUGUUCCUCCUCUUUCUAAGACUGUGGCAAUACUUUUUACCUUUUCAAGGGACAGGUGAGCAGUCAUUUCAUGGGUGAAGCGCGUGCGUGCGAUGUCUUGCAGAGACAUUGCAGCAUGGAUUCCUUCCCCUCCUCUUUCUAGCCCCGGCCUCUCUGGCUUCCUCUAACUGUGCCUUACACUGGAGUGCACAGGGAUGCGGCUCACUUAGCAUCUACGUUAUUUCGAUUCUUCUUGCCAGCCCCUGUUUCUCUGGGCCAAGCUCUAGCCCAGCACCUCACACGUGGCAGGAAGUCUGUUUUAUUGAAUGAAUCCCUAAAUGUGAGGCCUGGAAGAGGAGAGAUUCUUUUCUCUGCUCUGCGGGUUAGACAAACUUUGGUUGGUUGGAACUCAUAGAAAACAAAACCCAAUUUAGCUACCACUCCCUGGAGAAAGGCAGCUUGAGAUUUAGGAGUCACCUCCAGGGCUUGGGGAUGAAGUUCAGACACUAAAGCGUCGGGGAGGGGACAGAACACACUGUGAUUUUUCUUUUCAAGGGCCCCACGUAGCACCUGCAACCCCACCUCUGGUCCUGAUGCUGUGUGACUUUGACCAAGCGCUGGUCCCCACUAGGUUUUCUCUUCUCGGGGGACCUCAGUGGCUCUCAAUCAGGGCUAUGCUUGAGAACCACCACUGGAGAUUUUUAAAACACCUAUGCCUGGGGCCCACCUCGGACCAAUACAUUCAGAAACCUAAUGGCUGUGGACCAGCUGUGUAUUUUUUAAAAAUUUGCAGGUGAUUCCAAAGUGAAGCUGGGUUUAAACUUUGGUGUCUCUCCUUUAAUAUGAUGAGGAUGACCUGGGAUCUUGUAAAAAUGCAGAUUCUGAUUCAGCAGCUUUUGGGUGGAGCCUGCAUGUCUGCAUCUGAAGCCAGGGCUCAGGUGAUGCUGGCUGUCUCUGGUGCACCUGGACAAGGACCCAGAGCCUGGAGUAAAACCUGGGGACUUUAAGGCCUCACCUCAGGCCCACUGAAUCGCAUCCUGCAUUUGAAAUAUUCCUCGGUGAUUUGUAAUACUUCAAAGUUGUGUUUGAGAAACAACUAAAUAAUCCAUGAGAAACCUCCCCUGCCUCCACUUUAGACAGCCUCUGCUUACUUUCACCUGUUUUUCCUUCCUGUGCCCCUGUGCUCACCAUAACCCAGCAGCUGAGGCUCUUUGUACUUGCCCAGAUGUGUCCUGCGUGGCCUGACACUGCCUUUCCAACAUGACAUGGCCAUGCCCUUUAUAUGGACUAGAUCCUAACCCUUUACCCACUCCUUUCCUACCCAACCUUCAAGAUUUGGGGAUGAAGUCCUCCAGGGAAGCUGAUGUAACUAUUUCCACCCACCACCCGACUCUAACUUGGCUCCCCUGUGCUUUCUUACACUGAAAGAAAAUUACCCAUAUAUGUGCUUCGCUCCCCACCGAGGAUGUACAAUUAAUUCUGCAUUGUCAAAAACUGAGUUUUGAGGUUUUUUUUUUCUGAUUGAUCAAGGUGCUGGCACAGAGUAUGCACUUGUACUUUUCCGUGUGGGUUCUGAUUAGGAUGGAGAUCUUAACAGAUCUUCCACAUCAAGCUCUUCUUCCUGCCCAGAGUCUUGGCAACACACCAUGUGGCUAGAGAAACGCCAAGUGGAUUUCCCAGCUCAGCCUGGCACCAAAUCUCACUUUUUUUGUCUUGAGGACAUGUUGGGACCCCUGUAAACUCUCCAAGGCUUGAGACCCCCAUGCCCCAGAGGAAAGUGGCUUUGGUGGGCUUUCCUCUGGGACGGGAAUAGAUAGAUGAGUGAGAAAGGCAUCCACUUGCUUGAUUUCUGUGCUCCUUGUAUUUCUGACAUUUAUCAAAGCUGACAUCACUUGCCAAAGGCCAAGGGAGGAAGGAUGAAACAGAUCAUUUUCAUUUGCCUGGUGUUCUCUUAGCUGUUUCCCAGGCUGACUGAGAACAAUUUGCAUCCUGUCCAGGCCCCAUAAUUUCUGGUUGUUAAAGAAAGACACAUGGGUAUUGCCAAAGCAUCCUGAGACCUUGACUCAGUGUAGUGCGACUUGAAGGAUAUGGGAAAUGUGGGAGGGCCACUUACUUUGAUUUUCUUCGUGUGGCCCACACUGCACGUUUCCUGGAAGAGGACACUGAGCCUGCAUUUGCUCUCAAUCUAAUGUUGGAUUCAAAUUACGAAUAUCUAUCAAAUUCAGUGAAUAUCUGUGAGGUGUCCUCUGUGUGGCAGACUCUUUGCUGACGUUGGGGAGGGUGACUGUGAUGCAUCACAGAUUUUACCUUCAAGGCGAUGCUGGAUGUAGAUACAAAGGACCAUGCUGCUAAGCGUUUUCUUGAGGAAUACGGUGCCGUAAGAAUACAGAAGAAAAGGCAAUUAACUCUACCUCCUAUGCUGCCAAAAAAGAUAACAGGGGGGUAGUAUGUCAAGGGAAAUGUCUUCCAAGACAUUUUAUUCAAACUUAAAGUUUCUUUUCCUGUGUAACUAAUAACCCUGAAACUUAGUGGCUAAAAUAACAGCAACUGUGGAUUAUAAGAGACAGUAUUGCUGUGUAUGGAUGGCUUUUACUGAUUUACGUAAGAGUAGGGACAGGUAACGAUUAUACUGACAAAAAUAAGAUUAAAAAUAACCCUAAAGUAUGAACUGAGGCAUCAUGCGUGUCCAUCAGCGAAAUGUACUUGUGCUUAAAGAGAGUUUGACUGCUGUUGUUCACUUGAAUUUCUCCUGGUCAGUGGGUCCACCUGGCGCACAGAUGGGAGUUGGAGAAAAGUUAGGGUGUGGUCAAAAACCAGGGAGUUGCAAGAUGCUGGCCUUGGCCUCAUUGGCCUGAAUUAAUCCACAACUCAAUGCAUAUUCAAGGCAAAUUUUGGAGAGCAUUUUGGAGGGAGAGUAGCAAGGUCCUGGCUGCAACAGAAUUGGCAAUGGACUGUGGAGAGUUGAACAAAGGAAUGAAACGGGCGAGGAUUUCAAAGCUAACUGGCAGCAGAUUUGAGUCUGGACUUGGUAACUAACCUUGACUAAAUCACGUUAUUAAUAUAAUUUUGCCAAGACAAAGGGCACACAUUAAAAAAAAAAAA
Molecule: long non-coding RNA, 4917 nt
Filed under: Sus scrofa (pig)
Lineage: Eukaryota; Metazoa; Chordata; Mammalia; Artiodactyla; Suidae
Description: lncRNA (ENSSSCG00030054191.1)
Source: RNAcentral